AUGUCUCUCGUCUCUCGUGCGUCUUCUGUUUGUGUUGGUCCCAUCUGCGUCGAGGGCAGGGCAGGGCAGGGGAACCAAACCAACGGCGCUUGCACGGAGACGGAGGCAGGAUGUGUUUUCUCUGCAUGCUUUGAUCGAGGAGCCGUCCGUCGGCGUGGGCCCCAUAGCCAUUGCCAACCCCCACCUCCUCACUCACACAGCAAAUCUCUUCUCCCCACAUCUCCAGCUCCUGCAACCUCAAGCUCAAGCCAGGCAGUCUCCAUGGACGCGGUGGAGUCCUCCUCCUCCUCGCCCUACUCGCCGCCCUCGCUGCGCCACAAGCUGCGUACCACCAUCUGCGUCUGCUUCGGCUCCCCCUCCUCACCAGGCAGCGGCGGGGAGAGGCCGCACGCCGGGGGCGGCAGGAGCAGGUGGAGGCGACGCGUGACCGCCACGGAGGAAUUCCGCUAUGACCCGCUCAGCUACGCUCUCAACUUGGACGACGGCAGCAGCGACGACGGUGAUUUGCAAAGGAUAAGCCAGUCAAAAAUAUCGAACCAACCACACACACGCGCGCGAAACGAAUCUCAAGGACUAUCCGCUCGUGCAGUUUGUCACGGGUGGAGCUUUCGCCCGAAGAAAAAUCUUCCUCUACACGUCCUUUUCUUACUGAAAUACAGGGGCGAGCCGCGGUUGCAUUCAAACGAGACUAUACGACCAGCCUCAGCCUCCACCCCUGUUCCGUGUUCACCCCAAGUAGAGUUCGGCCGGUCGUUGUACAUGCACGGUAUAUAUCAUCUCCGCUGUUCCGUAAACCUCCCUCCCACCGGAUUGCAUUGUCAGGUCUCCAACCGCCAACGAGGAUCCAAAAUGAAGGAAAUGGGCAGAGUUGUGUCCUGGACUCCAAGCGCUGCGGGGCCACAGCGAUUACACCCGUGCAAGGUUCACCGGCGACAAGAGGCGAUGGAGGAGUCGACAACAGAAGGGAGGCGCGUCUAUGAUAUGCUUUGGAGUGGCUUCGAAGACGACAUUGAUCGCAAGUUUGAGUAUCAGCGCACAACGACCAUUAGGGAAGUCAGCAAGAUGUUCGAUGGAAGUUCUACUAAAUUGAAUGGACUCUUCGCCAAGCUAGAAGGAGUUCGUGAUGAUUUUAGUGUCGAUAUUGGCGAGAUCCACAUCGAUGGCGAUGUUGAAGCUCGAGGAGAUCCGGCUGGCAUGGGGGCGCCUGCCGCCGCGACCUCGGAGGCUCCCGCCGCUGCCACUGGAUUUGGUAAGGAUCACCAACGGGAGGACCUGCCGCCGGUUGGCUUGAAUCUGUGCAACACUGUUCUCCCAAAGCCACAUGGUCUAAAUCAUGUCAGCCCCUUCUCGGUUGCAAUCAACAUUGGUUACUCUUUCGGAAACCAGCUGACUUGGACACAACAUUUGAACGCUCUCGUUGGCGGCCAGAGAGGUGAUACGGUAGCUGUUGUGCUACCAUGCUACGAUGCCAACUCGACCAUUGGAUCUCACAUCCAACGAUGUGCAUUGGGCGCAUGGAACACGCACGGGAUGUUUCGUGCGUGUUGUGUUGAUCGCCUCCGCGGCCUGCGUCGACGGCAGUGGAACCAAACCCAGGGUGCACGGAGACGGGAGGCUCCGCGGGGUUUUGACCGAGCGCUCACUCGAGCAGAGUCGCCGUCGCCGUCACCGUCACGGGAAUUAAAAUGCCUCGAUCCUCUCCGCCCGUCUGUCAGCGCGGGCCGCACGACAGGAGACCUUUCACCCGGCCGGGAGGUUUGGCAUCCGAUUCGGUCGGCCUUCACAUCCAUCGAUUCGGCCGUGUCAGUGCUUUUUAUCAUGCUCUUUUUCUGUAUGAUGCGAACGCAGUACGUGAAUGGAGCUACGGCGUACGUCCGCGUUGCAGCUAAGCUGCCGCUGUUACCGUUGCUGCCACGGUCAGCUGUCUCUCUCGGCACACACUGUGACAGCUUGCACGAAGACCGACCGUUGCCGUCGCCCUCCUCCCUCCCGUCCCAACGGCUCCGAAGCCCAGAGACGUGCCAAAUCCCGACAACACCCUCACGUCUAACGGCACGCGUGCGCUACGGCGAUAGCAGCUCUGGUUGGUUGCUUCCCCGCGUCUCUUGCCCUUCACGCCGUGGCCGGCUGUCCUUAUCCGUCUUUUUUCUGCCCCUCCUAUUUAGUCCCGCCCAACUCCGCCUUCCUUCUCCAGCAGCAGAGCACACUGUCACAACCCACAUCUAUCUCUAG
This 2232-nucleotide ribosomal RNA is filed under the name Triticum aestivum (bread wheat). RNAcentral's name for it is "partial small subunit ribosomal RNA". The record is from RNAcentral. Lineage: Eukaryota; Viridiplantae; Streptophyta; Magnoliopsida; Poales; Poaceae.